GCCAUUGAAAAUUUCCCUCCGGUCAACUAAAAUAUCCAUUCAAUAUUCAGACUCAGCCGCUGCUGCCUCUGUUUGAUUAUUUCCAACUAGUAGCAAUCACCGAGUGGUUUUAUGCUUUUUAUCCGAUUACCGACGAGAACGAGCACAAGUGUUCCAUAAUAUUCACUCGAAAUUUCAUCUCCCAAAAGAUGCCUUCUGCAUGUUCACCUCACUUGAUUUGGACCGGUGUGUGAGCUCCCUCGCAGUUGACUCACUGACCGACGCCGCCGCUCUGCCGCGCACUCUUCGAGUAGGAGCCUCUCAUCCACUUCCACUCCCCCGACCCGCCGCCCGCGUGAUCGCGACGUGACGGCGGCGAUGCAUCCCCACGCCGUGGGCGGCGCCGGGAAGGCGACCGCGCCGUACGGGUCCUGGGAGUCGCCGAUCAGCGCCGCCGCCGUCUCGGCUGCCGGGAGCACCGCCGAGGGGCUCGCCGUCGCGGGCGACGGCCGGCUCGUCUGGGUCGAGACGCGCCCCGAGGAAGGAGGGCGCGCGGUCCUCGUGAAGGAACCGGCGGAGCCAGGCGGCAAGGCUCGGGAUGUGACGCCGCAGGGGUUCGCGGUGCGCUCCCUCGCGCAGGAAUACGGCGGUGGUGCAUUCGCCGUGCAAGGGGACGUCGUUGUCUUCUCUAACUACAGCGACCAGCGUCUGUACAAGCAAACAAUCGGAGAUAACUUGCCACUACCGUUGACACCAGAUUAUGCUGGAUCAGUGGUACGCUAUGCUGAUGGUGUCUUUGAUCCUCACUUCCAUCGUUUUGUAACUAUAAUGGAAGAUCAUCGCCACGGUAGCUCAAAUCCCAUCACUACAAUUGCUGCUGUAAGAAUAAGUAAUCGAGAUAUCGAAGAACCCACUAUGCUGGUCAGUGGCAAUGAUUUUUAUGCCUUCCCACGUGCUGAUCCAACUAAGAAACGUAUGGCAUGGAUCGAGUGGAGUAACCCGAACAUGUCAUGGGAUAAAUCACAACUAUGGGUUGGAUAUUUCAACGAGAAAGGUGAGGUACAAAAACGUAUCUGUGUUGCGGGUGGAGACCCAACACUAGUAGAAUCUCCUACUGAACCCAAGUGGUCCUCAAAAGGGGAGCUGUUCUUCAUAACUGAUCGACGGAGUGGGUUUUGGAAUAUUUAUAAAUGGGAUGAGCAGAGCAAUUUGGUAACAACACUGUAUUCACUCGAUGCUGAAUUCUCCAAGCCCAUGUGGAUUUUUGGUGUCAGCUCCUAUGAUUUCCUUGGAAAAGACAACUCAAGUCACAAAAUCAUUUGCUGUUACAGGUUUUCAUAUUUUCUGAUAGUUGUACUUUAUGCAUUUCAGAAGAAUCAGCAUGCUUUUUUUUUAUCCAGGCAGAAUGGAAAGUCAUACGUUGGUGUGCUUGACCAUGAUUCAGACUCUUUUUCAAAAAUUGACAUCCCCUUCUCUUCUGUAAAUAACAUUGUGUCUGGAGAUGGAUCCUUCUAUAUCGAAGGUGCAUCUGCUAGUCUUCCAGUAUCAAUAGCAAAGGUGACACUUGAUGAAAAGAGAACUAUUGCAACCGAUUUCUCCAUAGUUUGGUCCUCCUCAGAGGAUGUAGCAAAAUUUAAAUCCUACUUCAGCUUUCCUGAAUUUGUGGAGUUUCCAACUGUGAUCCCUGGUCAGCAUGCAUAUUCUUAUUUCUAUGCUCCAUAUAAUGAUAUUUUCCAAGGUUCAUCAGAUGAAAAGCCUCCGCUACUGGUCAGAACCCAUGGUGGACCUACAGAUGAAGCACGAGGGGUCCUGGAUCUUAGUGUGCAGUACUGGACAAGCCGAGGAUGGGCAUUUGUUGAUGUUAACUAUGGGGGAAGCUCAGGCUAUGGGAGAGAAUUCCGAGAGAGGCUUUUAGGGCAAUGGGGUGUUGUUGAUGUAAAUGAUUGCUGCAGUUGUGCUGCAUUCCUGGUGGGAACCGGAAGAGUGGAUGGACAACGGCUUUGUGUAACAGGAGAAUCUGCUGGUGGAUUCACAACUUUAGCUUGUCUUGCUUUCAGACAGACCUUCAAGGCUGGUUCAUCUUUAUAUGGGAUAGCUGACUUAGCUUCAUUGAGGGCAGGAAUGCACAAAUUUGAAGCAUACUAUAUUGAUAACCUUGUGGGGAAUAAACAAGCUUACUUUGAGAGAUCGCCAAUAAAUUUUGUUGACAAAUUUUCAUGUCCAGUGAUUUUAUUUCAAGGAUUGGAAGACACAGUAAGGUUGUAUCACCAGAUCAGGCAACGAAAAUAUACAAGGCGAUAAAGGACAAAGGUCUUCCAGUUGCUCUGGUUGAGUAUGAAGGGGAACAACACGGUUUCCGCAAGGCUGAGAACAUCAAAUUCACCUUGGAGCAGGAGAUGGUGUUCUUCGCAAGAUUAGUGGGAAAAUUCAAGGUGGCUGAUGACAUUACUCCAAUCAAGAUUGAAAACGUUGACUAGCCCUUGCUGUAAACGUUUUAAGUGGCAGCAAUCUGCAUUCUGUUUACCCACCAUCAACUGCUGAACUAGUCAGCUUUAGAUGCAACUUUGUACAGCCUGCACUUCCUAGAUGUUCUUCAACUGAACCGAAGUUUUAGGCUGUGUCUACGAGACUAUGACUAUGGGCAAUAAGCCAAACUCUUCCACUUGUUGACACAGCAAGGAGCAGGGCUUCUCUCUAAA
Panicum hallii is the source of this 2678-nucleotide RNA transcript. RefSeq lists it as uncharacterized. NCBI's taxonomy places the organism in Eukaryota, Viridiplantae, Streptophyta, Magnoliopsida, Poales, Poaceae. The transcript has 17 exons. The record is from RefSeq and is a predicted model, not a curated record.